CCUACGGGCGGCAGCAGUGAGGAAUAUUGGUCAAUGGACGAGAGUCUGAACCAGCCAAGUCGCGUGAAGGAUGACUGCCCUAUGGGUUGUAAACUUCUUUUAUAUGGGAAUAAAAUGUUCCACGUGUGGGAUUUUGUAUGUACCAUAUGAAUAAGGAUCGGCUAACUCCGUGCCAGCAGCCGCGGUAAUACGGAGGAUCCGAGCGUUAUCCGGUUUUAUUGGGUUUAAAGGGAGCGUAGGUGGAUUGUUAAGUCAGUUGUGAAAGUUUGUGGCUCAACCGUAAAAUUGCAGUUGAAACUGGCAGUCUUGAGUACAGUAGAGGUAGGCGGAAUUCGUGGUGUAGCGGUGAAAUGCUUAGAUAUCACGAAGAACUCCGAUUGCGAAGGCAGUUCACUGGACUGCAACUGACACUGAGGCUCGAAAGUGUGGGUAUCAAACAGGAUUAGAUACCCCUGUAGUC
This 460-nucleotide ribosomal RNA is filed under the name uncultured bacterium. RNAcentral's name for it is "partial 16S ribosomal RNA". It matches the Rfam family "Bacterial small subunit ribosomal RNA", at positions 338 to 795 of the family's 1533-position model. The record is from RNAcentral.